UAAAUAUCCUGCUCUUGUGAAUUUUCAGACGGUGUUCCUGAGUUUAUUUGAUCAUUUUCCUAACAACUUGGUCCUUUGAGCCGGAUCUCAACAACCUCUCCUACUGUCCAGGACAGGACCUGAACCGUGCACGGGGGAGUCUGGGACUCCUGAACUAAAGUCCUCCAGCAUAGAGAAUUGCUGUUAAAAAGAGGCCAGGAUCUGCUGGACUGUGGGAAGGUGACGAGAUCCACGAACAGAGAGAAACCAGGACGUCUGUAUCAGAAGUGGGCCGCAUUGAAUAAAGAGAGACUCCCCGCCUUGAUACCUGUGUCUCGACUGUUUGAUUCCUUUUGAUCCACCACUUCUCGCCACAACAUAAUUGGUGACCCCGACGUGAUCGAGUUUGGAUCCUAGGCUGGGAAGGAGGCCGACGCAUCCCGCUCCAAGGUCGCUGAGAAUACUGCAGUAAAGGAGCCUGAACAACCAACAUCUAUCGUUGUUCCGGGGGACUGGGUGUUUGUCAAAGUCAUUAAAAAAAAGACCUGGUCCAGCCCAAGGUGGGAAGGACCGUUCCAGGUUCUCCUGACCAACGGCAGUAAAGAUCGCAGAAAGAGGCUCCUGGAUCCAUCUCUCACACUGUAAGAAAGCACUUCAGCUAUCUUCUCUGGAGGAAGACUCAGGUGAGACCUAGAACACUGACCUCAGCAUCUCCAUGGGAUAGUCUGGCUACAAAGGGGAGUGAAACCAACAGGGUCCCUUGUCUCAAACCAGUGAAGAACCCAUCAGUACCUGGAGAUAGUAGGAGGGAAGUGUCUGGGGUUACUGGCUUUCUCCGAAAGAGACUCUGAUGACAAAUGAACAAAUAAUCAAUUUAAAUUAUAUUCCUAUUUGCCAAACACCAAAAGGGAUAGCUUUAAUAGUGUGGAGUGAAAACGAAGAUUCUAGCAUUAACCUGCUUACUAUAUUUACUGUGUUAUUCUUAGCAUUAGCAUCCUAUUAAUCCAGUCCUAUUAAUAAUUUAUCUGUUAAGUUGAGUUAUUUCCUAAAAAUAAACAUGGAUAGGCCACGACCAUGGCAUCCGUUUAGACAACCAGGCCUCUGUGGCCUCAGGGGUACCAUCUGUUGUUUACUCUGUAUAACACUUAUCAUUAUGCUCCCAAUGAUAUGGUUUGAGUUGCAGGUAAGCAAGAGCCAACACCCACUCAAUGAGACCGAGACGACCACUGACAGAACCCCUGCUGAAGAGGAAAUCAAAGUAGGGAACAGAUCACUGAGUGGUAGUAAGACACCGUUAACACUAACCUUUACUGAGGGACAAAGUAAUACAGCAAAGUUCGAUCUCUGUUCUGUCAGACAUUGUGGCCAAAACCAAGAAGCCCAUAAAUGUUCAAUGUAAGUUCUACCAGUAUUCCAGAGCAACUACAGAACGGGCCUAUUGUGACUUACCUAGAUCUCACUAAUGCAACCAUAAUGGAUAAAGUAGCUAUUGAGACAGGGUUUGUUGAGACAAAUGAAUGGCUUCGAUGGUUAAUUUAUACUGCACAAAACAAUAAACCAAAUACAACCAAUUGUCUAGCAUGUGCGGCAGCCAGGCCUGGGUUAGGCACAGUUCCAUUUCCCUUAAAUCAAAACGAUGAUCCAGAUGGAUUCCAGUGUAUGAUCAGACUAUUCAACUCUCCUAACCCUUCUGAAGACUGUACCACCUUGCACUAUCUGUUCCCUCCGACUGCAGAAACAUGACCGCCUCACUUCAGCCCGUAUGCAGGUAAUUACACCCGUAUCGAGCGAAGGGGAUUGGGGCAGGAUGUGGGGGAGCUGUCGUGGUGCAACGUUACAUUAUCAACUAACGGCACAGGCAUUCAGGACG
Molecule: long non-coding RNA, 1849 nt
Organism: Seriola dumerili (greater amberjack)
Lineage: Eukaryota; Metazoa; Chordata; Actinopteri; Carangiformes; Carangidae
Exons: 3
Source: RefSeq, a predicted model, not a curated record